UGAUUACCAAGGGGCUCAUAAAUAUUGUUAAAGGAUUCCUUUACUCUACUAAAAGAAAUAAAAAUUUCGUAAACUAUAAUGAAGGUAAAUAGUUUAAAAUAAUUAGUGAAAAUAUCAUUUAGAUAAAAGUCCAUGUCUUUAUAAUAUAUGCAAAUAUGUUCUUAUAUUAUUGCCUUUUCUUUCCUAUAUUUUAUAUUUCUCAAUAUGUCUGCUAUAUCACUGCGUGGAAUACUUGAGACCAACAAGUUGGUAGGACC
This 257-nucleotide long non-coding RNA is filed under the name Nicotiana benthamiana. RNAcentral describes it as "long non-coding RNA (NBEN_LNC001355)". The record is from RNAcentral. Lineage: Eukaryota; Viridiplantae; Streptophyta; Magnoliopsida; Solanales; Solanaceae.